RNAcentral lists this ribosomal RNA (98 nucleotides) under Saimiri boliviensis boliviensis (Bolivian squirrel monkey). Lineage: Eukaryota; Metazoa; Chordata; Mammalia; Primates; Cebidae. The record is from RNAcentral.
AUCAAUAAACCUUCUUGAUCUUGUCUGAUCUCAGAAGCUAAGCAGGGUCAGGCCUGGUUAGUACUUGGAUGGGAGACGGAAGAGAUAAGGACCAGAUA